RNAcentral lists this small nuclear RNA (20 nucleotides) under Arabidopsis thaliana (thale cress). Its description in RNAcentral is "snRNA_05472". The record is from RNAcentral. Lineage: Eukaryota; Viridiplantae; Streptophyta; Magnoliopsida; Brassicales; Brassicaceae.
CCGGGCGGAGCGGCCGUCGG